RNAcentral lists this ribosomal RNA (551 nucleotides) under Phosphuga atrata. RNAcentral's name for it is "partial 16S ribosomal RNA". The record is from RNAcentral. Lineage: Eukaryota; Metazoa; Arthropoda; Insecta; Coleoptera; Silphidae.
CCGGUUUGAACUCAGAUCAUGUAAAAUAUUAAAGGUCGAACAGACCUAAUCUUUUAGCUUCUACACCAAAAUUUAAUUUUAAUCCAACAUCGAGGUCGCAAACUUCUUUUUCGAUUUGAACUCUUUAAAGAAAUUACGCUGUUAUCCCUAAGGUAAUUUAAUCUUAUAAUCAUAAAUAAUGGAUCAAAAUUUCAUAAAUAAAUGUUUUAAUUAAAAAAAAGUUUAUUAAAUUUUUCUAUCACCCCAAUAAAAUAAAUUUCACUGAAAAAAAUUAUAUAAUUCUAAAAAUUUUAAACAAUAAAUAUUUAUAAAACUCUAUAGGGUCUUCUCGUCUUUUAAAAGUAUUUAAGCUUUUUAACUUAAAAAUAAAAUUCUAAUAAAUUUAAUUUGAGACAGUAUUUUUCUCGUUCAACCAUUCAUUCCAGCUUUCAAUUAAAAAACUAAUUAUUAUGCUACCUUCGCACGGUCAAAAUACCGCGGCCAUUUAAAAUUCAGUGGGCAGGUUAGACUUUAAAUUAAAAUCAAAAAGACAUGUUUUUGAUAAACAGGCG